RNAcentral lists this unclassified non-coding RNA (335 nucleotides) under soil metagenome. RNAcentral describes it as "partial contains 5.8S ribosomal RNA, internal transcribed spacer 2, and large subunit ribosomal RNA". The stretch from base 1 to 120 matches the Rfam family "5.8S ribosomal RNA", at positions 35 to 154 of the family's 154-position model. The record is from RNAcentral.
GAUGAAGAACGUAGCGAAAGGCGAUAAGUAAUGUGAAUUUCAGAAUUCAGUGAAUCAUCGAAUCUUUGAACGCACAUUGCGCCCGCCAGUAUUCUGGCGGGCAUGCCUGUUCGAGCGUCAUUUCAACCAUCAAGCCCCCGGCUUGUGUUGGGGACCUGCGGCUGCCGCAGGCCCUGAAAACCAGUGGCGGGCUCGCUAGUCACUCCGAGCGUAGUAAUACAUCUCGCUCAGGGCGUGCUGCGGGUUCCGGCCGUUAAAAAGCCUUAUUUACCCAAGGUUGACCUCGGAUCAGGUAGGAAGACCCGCUGAACUUAAGCAUAUCAAUAAGCGGAGGA